UACGUAGGCAGCAAGCGUUGUUCGGAGUUACUGGGCGUAAAGGGUGCGUAGGCGGUCCUAUAAGUAUGGUGUGAAAUCUCCCGGCUUAACUGGGAGGGUGCGCCGAAGACUGGAAGGCUUGAGUAUGGGAGAGGUAAGCGGAAUUCCUGGUGUAGCGGUGAAAUGCGUAGAUAUCAGGAGGAACACCUGCGGUGUAGACGGCUUACUGGACCAUAACUGACGCUGAGGCACGAAAGCGUGGGUAGCAAACAGG
Molecule: ribosomal RNA, 253 nt
Filed under: uncultured bacterium
Lineage: Bacteria
Description: partial 16S ribosomal RNA
Rfam family: Bacterial small subunit ribosomal RNA
Source: RNAcentral